CCUACGUGUGGCAGCAGUGGGGAAUAUUGCGCAAUGGGCGAAAGCCUGACGCAGCGACGCCGCGUGAGGGAUGAAGGUCUUCGGAUCGUAAAACUCUGUCAGCAGGGAAGAACGGUCACUGUGCUAAUCAGCCGUGAAUUGACGGUACCUGCAAAGGAAGCACCGGCUAACUCCGUGCCAGCAGCCGCGGUAAUACGGAGGGUGCGAGCGUUAAUCGGAAUUACUGGGCGUAAAGCGCUCGUAGGCGGUAUGUCAAGUCAAGGGUGAAAUCCCCGCGCUCAACGUGGGAACGGCCUUUGAAACUGGCAAACUGGAGUGUGUGGGAGGAUAGUGGAAUUCCAGGUGUAGGAGUGAAAUCCGUAGAGAUCUGGAGGAACAUCAGUGGCGAAGGCGACUAUCUGGCACAUAACUGACGCUGAGGAGCGAAAGCGUGGGUAGCAAACAGGAUUAGAUACCCCAGUAGUC
RNAcentral lists this ribosomal RNA (465 nucleotides) under uncultured bacterium. RNAcentral's name for it is "partial 16S ribosomal RNA". It matches the Rfam family "Bacterial small subunit ribosomal RNA", at positions 338 to 795 of the family's 1533-position model. The record is from RNAcentral.